Panicum virgatum (switchgrass) is the source of this 1668-nucleotide long non-coding RNA. RefSeq lists it as uncharacterized. The transcript has 4 exons. The record is from RefSeq and is a predicted model, not a curated record. NCBI's taxonomy places the organism in Eukaryota, Viridiplantae, Streptophyta, Magnoliopsida, Poales, Poaceae.
AUUUUCAGAUAGAAGGGGAGAGAGAGCGGCGGGUCAGCGCAACUGUUCAUUUCGUUCCCCAUUUUCUCUCUCUCUAGGGUUAUUCGCUCUCCUCUCUCCUCGCUCGCAUCCAUUGGCGAUUUUUCACAUCCAACCUCUUGAAUCACCCACACACCAGCAACUCAGCUAGAUCCGGUGGUGAUCAACGGCAUCUCUGACGAAGGGGGCAAGGUGCCGAAGCGCAGAUCCGGACACUCUCCAAUCGUGCCCCCACUCUUUCGUUCAUGGCCCGCAGCUCGCUGGCGGUUCUGCUCCUGCUUGCGGCGCUCGUGGGCGUAGUCGCUGCCAGGGACAUCGUCCACCAGGACGACGAGGACCCGAAAUUCCCGGCUGCGCCAACGAUUUUGUCCUGGGUGCAGACAACACAUUCAUGAUUCACCUGAGAACCUGGUUAGUGUUGUUCAAAUAACCAUACCAAGUUACAAUGACAAGAGGGAAGAAGCAGCAGCAAGAGAAGGAGGUUGCCCAAAUAAUUUGUGAAUAUCCAAAGGACGAACUAUGGUUUACAUUACUCUGCAAGAAGAUACAGAUGCAGUAAGACUUGAUUCACUCUUAGAUUUCAAAAAGCAUCAUUUCUUUGCUUGUCCACGCUCAAGCUCCGAGAAAACUAUUUUUGCUGCAGGUAAGAUAUGAAUGAGCUCGUACAAUGAUGUGAUAGUCAAAACUAGUGGCUCUUUAGCAACUUUUAGACCAAUAUAUUGUAUUAUGCAAUUAUAGCUUGUGACUGUUGCAUUUCUCCAAUAAUUGUAGCAAUUUAUAUGUCAUGGAGGUGAACUUGAUGAAAUAUAUACUAGAGGUAUUUGUUAGGACUCCCUCUCCAAGAACUGAACGUCGUUAAGACCAGCUACCCUAGCUCCUCAGAGCAAUUUUUAAAACUCAUAAACUUGUAUGUGCAGUUCUUUUGAUCCCUAGUAUUCAUGCAGGCCCGACAAUCUUUUAGGUUUGUUUUCUGAUUGAGUUCAGCAGCUUGGUAGUAGCACAUUUGUUUGCAACUUCUCAUUAUUGAAAUGUCAUUUUUCAUAUUUUGUAUAUGGUUUUGUAAAAUUCAAUUGAAACUUUUGUCCAUGCUCUAAUUUUCUCACACUUUCUUAGAACUUUGCUUAUAUGGUUCCAAAACGAUGCUUAUUCUGCCUAGGAAAUUCAUGAUUAUUAGUUAGGCAAAGUAAUACUUUUAGUUGUGCAAUUUUUUGGCUACGGAACAAGCAAAUGCAUAUGCAUGUAGGCAAUUUUUAUAACAUUUUAUUUUUCAAAUGCCUCCGUUGAUAAUUAGGAUACAACAGGUAGUUCUUCAGCUUAUCCAACUUACUUUAUGUGCUACAUACUAUCUGAUAUAUUCCUAUUUUUCCCAUUAUAUGGCAGGUCAUGAAAGGUGCUCAUAAGUUAGGUAAAGACUCACAACAAGCUAAAGUCAAGUAUAAGCAGGGUGUAUCUAGUGGUUACGUGAUGACUGAUGAAACAAUAUUAUUGUGAAUUUAUUUUAUUUGCUUGUACAUUUAUUCUAAAUUGCUUCGGAGUUUAUUAUGAGAUGCUUUCAACUUUUAACAAAAGUGCUCUUGGAACUGUACGAGAAAAAUAUCAUCGAAACAUAUUGAAAUGAGAUCUUGUUUUGAUCUUUUUGUUACGGGCAAA